GAUGAACGCUGGCGGCGUGCCUAAUACAUGCAAGUCGAGCGAACGGACGAGAAGCUUGCUUCUCUGAUGUUAGCGGCGGACGGGUGAGUAACACGUGGAUAACCUACCUAUAAGACUGGGAUAACUUCGGGAAACCGGAGCUAAUACCGGAUAAUAUUUUGAACCGCAUGGUUCAAAAGUGAAAGACGGUCUUGCUGUCACUUAUAGAUGGAUCCGCGCUGCAUUAGCUAGUUGGUAAGGUAACGGCUUACCAAGGCAACGAUGCAUAGCCGACCUGAGAGCGUGAUCGGCCACGCUGGAACUGAGCCACGGGCCAGACUCCUACGGGAAGCAGCAGUAGGGAAUCUUCCGCAAUGGGCGAAAGCCUGAAGGAGCAACGCCGCGUGAGUGAUGAAGGUCUUCGGAUCGUAAAACUCUGUUAUUAGGGAAGAACAUAUGUGUAAGUAACUGUGCACAUCUUGACGGUACCUAAUCAGAAAGCCACGGCUAACUACGUG
This 497-nucleotide ribosomal RNA is filed under the name uncultured bacterium. RNAcentral's name for it is "partial 16S ribosomal RNA". It matches the Rfam family "Bacterial small subunit ribosomal RNA", at positions 28 to 507 of the family's 1533-position model. The record is from RNAcentral.